UGAGGAAUUUUGCGCAAUGGGAGCAAUCCUGACGCAGCAACGGCGCGUGGGUGAUGAAGGCCUUCGGGUCGUAAAGCCCUGUCAGGUGGGAAGAAUGUCCCGGGACUGAACAGGUUCCGGGAGUGACGGUACCACCAGAGGAAGCACCGGCUAACUCCGUGCCAGCAGCCGCGGUAAUACGGAGGGUGCAAGCGUUAUUCGGAAUUACUGGGCGUAAAGCGCGGGUAGGCGGUCCUGCAAGUCUGAUGUGAAAGCCCCGGGCUUAACCCGGGAAGUGCAUUGGAAACUGUGGGACUUGAGUACUGGGGAGGAUGGGGGAAUUCCCGGUGUAGAGGUGAAAUUCGUAGAGAUCGGGAGGAAUAUCAGUGGCGAAGGCGCCCAUCUGGACGGUAACUGACGCUGAGACGCGAAAGCGUGGGGAGCAAACA
This 428-nucleotide ribosomal RNA is filed under the name uncultured prokaryote. RNAcentral describes it as "bacterial SSU rRNA". It matches the Rfam family "Bacterial small subunit ribosomal RNA", at positions 355 to 774 of the family's 1533-position model. The record is from RNAcentral.